This 394-nucleotide ribosomal RNA is filed under the name uncultured bacterium. RNAcentral's name for it is "partial 16S ribosomal RNA". It matches the Rfam family "Bacterial small subunit ribosomal RNA", at positions 523 to 917 of the family's 1533-position model. The record is from RNAcentral.
CUACGUAGGUGCCAAGCGUUAUCCGGAUUUACUGGGCGUAAAGGGCGUGUAGGCGGUCUUGCAAGUCAGAAGUGAAAUUCCUGAGCUCAACUCGGGCGCUGCUUCUGAAACUGCAGGACUUGAGUGCUGGAGGGGAUAGCGGAAUUCCUAGUGGAGCGGUAAAAUGCGCAGAAAUUAGGAAGAACACCGGUGGCGAAGGCGGCUAUCUGGACAGUAACUGACGCUGAGGCGCGAAAGCGUGGGGAGCAAACAGGAUUAGAUACCCUGUUAGUCCACGCCGUAACGAUGAAUACUAGGUGUGGGGGGACUGACCCCCUCCGUGCCGCAGUUAACACAAUAAGUAUUCCACCUGGGGAGUACGAUCGCAAGAUUGAAACUCAAAGGAAUUGACGGG